Molecule: RNA transcript, 2747 nt
Organism: Vitis vinifera (wine grape)
Lineage: Eukaryota; Viridiplantae; Streptophyta; Magnoliopsida; Vitales; Vitaceae
Exons: 6
Source: RefSeq, a predicted model, not a curated record
GAGAUGGAAUACUUGUAAAGGCACGUGUGAAAGGAAGGAAGGGAGGCACACGUGCCACGCCCGCCAUCAGACGACCCCAAACCCUAUCUCCCCCUUCGUGUCUCUAGGCUCUCCAGGACACUCUCUUUCAUCGCUUUCGUGCCCUAAUCAACCUCUCAUUCCAAACCCUAACCCUAAUCUAACUCUAACUCCCAAUUCAUGAAAAUUCACGCCCAUUCACCUGCGAUUCCUCUCUCCACCCUGGAAUCUCUUUGAUGCUAUCCUUCACACGCAAGCCCUAGAUAUUCCCCAGCCAUGGAGGGCUCUGCGGACGAUCUCGGAGCCCCUGAGUCCUGGGAGGUCGCUGAUUUGGACGAGAGCAUGAGCAGAUUGAUGCUCUCCUCUUCAUCCUCCAAGAAAGAUUCCUCUUCCUCUUCCUCUCUCGAUGCCUCGGUACCAGCUUCAGCUUCUGCUUCUGCUCCGGCUUUGUCGUCUUCGUCGGUGCCGGUUGGUUCCGGGAUGAUUUCUGAGGACUCUGUCAACCAAGUGGAUCAGUUUCUUCGUGAGGCUCUGCAGAAUCCGCGUGAGCGGCUGUCAAUUCUAAGGAUGGAGCAAGACAUCGAGAAGUUCAUUCAUGAUCCUACUCAACAGCAACUAGAGUUUCAACAGUUGCCUACCUCCUAUCUACGGUUGGCUGCGCACCGUGUGGCUCAGCAUUACUCACUGCAGUCAAUGGUUUUAUUGGACAAUAAUUUACCUGAUGGAUCUGGUUCCAAAAUUAUUGUUCGCAAAACUUCUGAGUGUCGGCUUCCUCUGAUUCGCCUGGCAGACAUCCCUGUAAGCUUACCACCAGAAGAUGGUGGUGUCAUUAAGGUUGCAAUCAAACAGAGGCCUCAGAAACGAUCGCAAAAUGUCAGUUGUGCAAAUUCACAUUCUUUUAAGGCAAAUAAUUCCAAAAGUGUAGAAGAACGAAAAGAGGAGUAUAACAGAGCUCGUGCACGGAUAUUUAACUCUAGUAGUUUUAGUGGUACUGGUGGGGGGAAACCUGAAUGUGAACCAAGGAUGCAGGAUACUUUCCAGCAUGGUUCUGUGAGUUUACCGAAAAUGGAAGAAAAACCUGUUGCUGGAAGUUCUGAUGUCAAUAUUUGCAGGGGUUUGGUUGAUUCUUCUACAAGUAGCAAUAGAUCAGCUAGAAGUAGGGCAGAAAAGGAGCCAAUUGGUAGGUACAAACCAAAUAAUAGGGUGGCUAUCUUUCGGGACCGUGAGAUUGACCGUAAGGAUCCUGAUUAUGACAGGAGCUAUGAUAGGUACCUGCAAAGAUUUGAUCCUGGAUUUGGGUUCAAUGGAGGACCUUACACUAUACAGCCUAUGUACACUCCUGCAGUGAACUACAAUACUGAAUUCCCACAACUUGGAUCAGCUCAUAGGCCUCAAAUUUCUACUGAACACCAACCUCGGCCACUUCCCCAACAUUUAUCUGGUCCAUGGCCUGCACCAUCAACUCCUACAGGAAUUGGGUAUGGUCAUCCAGAGACCAUGAUGUCACCAUUUAAUCCCAAUCAUGUUGGUGCACGCUCCACAUCUACCCUAUAUCUUCCUUCUUCUCAGUAUCCUUGUCAACGUCCUGGAAUGCCUUUCAUCCAUCCUCAUGAACAUGUUCACCAACCUUUUUCACAGUCUCAUCAACAGCAACCUGAUACAAGUUUUGGAUUAGCCCGGCCCCGGUAAGGGGCAUGGGCCAUGCCUGCACCCUGCCAGCUGAAACUCAAGCUUGAAAUAUGACAGCCUGCUACAAUGAUAUCUGUGGUGGUGUAUGUCAUCUCAUUUUGGCAGGAGUGCAGGCAUAGAAAACCGAGGUGGACUGGAGUGACACAUCAAUCUCAUGGAUGUCCUCUAUCAUCCAUUCGAUGAGCCCCUCGGUUCAAUAUGAGGCUUCUUGCAUCUUCAAUGCUGAAGCUCACUGGGAUUGCAGUCCCAUUGUUUGGACAAGCUAUUUAGAAGCUUGUUAUUUCACUGACGAUGAUGAAGAAUGAAAAUUGGAAAAGAAUUAGCAGAGCUGGACAUGUGCAGCAUUGGUUCAGAUGGAGUGUCGUAUAGAGAGAGCCCAAGGGAAAAUAUCAGUCAGUAUUGUUGUUGGCGGGGAAAGAUAUGGUGCACAGCCGAUUCCUUUGAAGAAGGCUCUGAUCUGAUCAUCACUCUCCAUGCUUUAGUAGAACAUUUUCUGUGCUGAAAUAAUUAAAGUGAACCACAUAUAUUUGUACCAUAUGAAACACCUGCUUCUGGGGUAGCGGUCUAUGGUGGUCGUAAAGCUCUCGGUCCAGAGUGAGAGUGGGAGUUAUGGUGUGUAGUAAGUUGAUGGUGGCUCGUUCAGUACUGCCCUGUUGCUUGUCUAGUGAUGUUUUGAUAUUCACCAUGUUUGUGGGCAGGGUAGCCACUGUCAUGUAGUAUCUUGUUCAUUUGUUUUCUAAAGAAAGGUCCAAAGGCACAAAGCUUUGUAUGUAAAGGGGGUGGGGUCCAUAAUGAGGAUGGAUGACGAGGGAAGGCAUUGAUCCAUUUGGAGAUGGCUUGCACUUGCAGAGAUCAGAGAGAAGAUGCUUCUUGUCUUUGGCCGAAGGCACCCUCACCCAUAACGCAGCAUUGGCAGUUGCUACUAAGCCAACUACAGGUUUAUUCACAAUUACGGUCUCUCUCUCUCUCUCUCUCUCCAUAAUUUCUCUAAAGUCUAAUAAAAUUCCUAUCAAUCAAAGCACCUAUUUCCAUUGAUCAAA